UAGGGAAUAUUGGUAAUGUGCGAAAGCGCGAACCAGCAACGCCGCGUGCACGAUGAAGGCCUUCGGGUCGUAAAGUGCUUUUAGAGAGGAUGAGGAAGGACAGUACUUUCUGAAUAAGCCUCGGCUAACUACGUGCCAGCAGCCUCGGUAAAACGUAGGAGGCUAGCGUUAUCCGGAUUUACUGGGCGUAAAGCGCAUGCAGGUGGUUUUGUAAGUUGGAUGUGAAAGCUCCUGGCUUAACUGGGAGAGGUCGUUCAAAACUACAAGUCUUGAGAUUAGUAGAGGAAAAUGGAAUUCCGGGUGUAGUGGUGAAAUGCGUAGAUAUCCGGAGGAACACCAGUGGCGAAAGCGGUUUUCUGGACCAAUUCUGACACUCAGAUGCGAAAGCUAAGGUAGCAAACG
Molecule: ribosomal RNA, 402 nt
Filed under: uncultured bacterium
Lineage: Bacteria
Description: bacterial SSU rRNA
Rfam family: Bacterial small subunit ribosomal RNA
Source: RNAcentral